GACGAACGCUGGCGGCGUGCUUAACACAUGCAAGUCGAACGGAAAGGCCCUGCUUUUGUGGGGUGCUCGAGUGGCGAACGGGUGAGUAACACGUGAGUAACCUGCCCUUGACUUUGGGAUAACUUCAGGAAACUGGGGCUAAUACCGGAUAGGAGCUCCUGCUGCAUGGUGGGGGUUGGAAAGUUUCGGCGGUUGGGGAUGGACUCGCGGCUUAUCAGCUUGUUGGUGGGGUAGUGGCUUACCAAGGCUUUGACGGGUAGCCGGCCUGAGAGGGUGACCGGCCACUUGGGGAUGGGGUUCGGCCCCAGCCUCCUCCGGGGGGCAGCGGGGGGGAAUAUGCCACAGGGGGCGGAGGCCUGAGGCCGCACCCCCGCGUGGGGGAUGGCGGCUUCCGGUUUUUAACCCGUUUUCGCCUGGGACGAGGGGGGAGUGACGUUAUUGGAUAAAAAAGCCCCGGCUAACUACGUC
This 468-nucleotide ribosomal RNA is filed under the name uncultured bacterium. Its description in RNAcentral is "partial 16S ribosomal RNA". It matches the Rfam family "Bacterial small subunit ribosomal RNA", at positions 28 to 507 of the family's 1533-position model. The record is from RNAcentral.